Molecule: ribosomal RNA, 253 nt
Filed under: uncultured bacterium
Lineage: Bacteria
Description: partial 16S ribosomal RNA
Rfam family: Bacterial small subunit ribosomal RNA
Source: RNAcentral
UACGAAGGGGGCUAGCGUUGCUCGGAAUCACUGGGCGUAAAGGGUGCGUAGGCGGGUCUUUACGUCAGGGGUGAAAUCCUGGAGCUCAACUCCAGAACUGCCUUUGAUACUGAAGAUCUUGAGUUCGGGAGAGGUGAGUGGAACUGCGAGUGUAGAGGUGAAAUUCGUAGAUAUUCGCAAGAACACCAGUGGCGAAGGCGGCUCACUGGCCCGAUACUGACGCUGAGGCGCGAAAGCGUGGGGAGCAAACAGG